GACGAACGCUGGCGGCGUGCCUAAUACAUGCAAGUCGAACGAACUCUGGUAUUGAUUGGUGCUUGCAUCAUGAUUUACAUUUGAGUGAGUGGCGAACUGGUGAGUAACACGUGGGAAACCUGCCCAGAAGCGGGGGAUAACACCUGGAAACAGAUGCUAAUACCGCAUAACAACUUGGACCGCAUGGUCCGAGUUUGAAAGAUGGCUUCGGCUAUCACUUUUGGAUGGUCCCGCGGCGUAUUAGCUAGAUGGUGGGGUAACGGCUCACCAUGGCAAUGAUACGUAGCCGACCUGAGAGGGUAAUCGGCCACAUUGGGACUGAGACACGGCCCAAACUCCUACGGGAGGCAGCAGUAGGGAAUCUUCCACAAUGGACGAAAGUCUGAUGGAGCAACGCCGCGUGAGUGAAGAAGGGUUUCGGCUCGUAAAACUCUGUUGUUAAAGAAGAACAUAUCUGAGAGUAACUGUUCAGGUAUUGACGGUAUUUAACCAGAAAGCCACGGCUAACUACGUGCCAGCAGCCGCGGUAAUACGUAGGUGGCAAGCGUUGUCCGGAUUUAUUGGGCGUAAAGCGAGCGCAGGCGGUUUUUUAAGUCUGAUGUGAAAGCCUUCGGCUCAACCGAAGAAGUGCAUCGGAAACUGGGAAACUUGAGUGCAGAAGAGGACAGUGGAACUCCAUGUGUAGCGGUGAAAUGCGUAGAUAUAUGGAAGAACACCAGUGGCGAAGGCGGCUGUCUGGUCUGUAACUGACGCUGAGGCUCGAAAGUAUGGGUAGCAAACAGGAUUAGAUACCCUGGUAGUCCAUACCGUAAACGAUGAAUGCUAAGUGUUGGAGGGUUUCCGCCCUUCAGUGCUGCAGCUAACGCAUUAAGCAUUCCGCCUGGGGAGUACGGCCGCAAGGCUGAAACUCAAAGGAAUUGACGGGGGCCCGCACAAGCGGUGGAGCAUGUGGUUUAAUUCGAAGCUACGCGAAGAACCUUACCAGGUCUUGACAUACUAUGCAAAUCUAAGAGAUUAGACGUUCCCUUCGGGGACAUGGAUACAGGUGGUGCAUGGUUGUCGUCAGCUCGUGUCGUGAGAUGUUGGGUUAAGUCCCGCAGCGAGCGCAACCCUUAUUAUCAGUUGCCAGCAUUAAGUUGGGCACUCUGGUGAGACUGCCGGUGACAAACCGGAGGAAGGUGGGGAUGACGUCAAAUCAUCAUGCCCCUUAUGACCUGGGCUACACACGUGCUACAAUGGAUGGUACAACGAGUUGCGAACUCGCGAGAGUAAGCUAAUCUCUUAAAGCCAUUCUCAGUUCGGAUUGUAGGCUGCAACUCGCCUACAUGAAGUCGGAAUCGCUAGUAAUCGCGGAUCAGCAUGCCGCGGUGAAUACGUUCCCGGGCCUUGUACACACCGCCCGUCACACCAUGAGAGUUUGUAACACCCAAAGUCGGUGGGGUAACCUUUUAGGAACCAGCCGCCUAAGGUGGGACAGAUGAUUAGGGUG
Molecule: ribosomal RNA, 1489 nt
Filed under: Lactiplantibacillus plantarum
Lineage: Bacteria; Bacillati; Bacillota; Bacilli; Lactobacillales; Lactobacillaceae
Description: bacterial SSU rRNA
Rfam family: Bacterial small subunit ribosomal RNA
Source: RNAcentral